UACAGAGGGGGCAAGCGUUGUUCGGAAUUACUGGGCGUAAAGGGCGCGUAGGCGGCCUGCUAAGUCGAACGUGAAAUCCCUGGGCUCAACCCAGGAACUGCGUCCGAUACUGGUUGGCUUGAAUCCGGGAGAGGGAUGUGGAAUUCCUGGUGUAGAGGUGAAAUUCGUAGAUAUCAGGAGGAACACCAGUGGCGAAGGCGACUCGCUGGACAGACAUUGACGCUGAGGUGCGAAAGCGUGGGGAGCAAACAGG
This 253-nucleotide ribosomal RNA is filed under the name uncultured bacterium. RNAcentral describes it as "partial 16S ribosomal RNA". It matches the Rfam family "Bacterial small subunit ribosomal RNA", at positions 524 to 776 of the family's 1533-position model. The record is from RNAcentral.